This is a non-coding RNA of Caenorhabditis elegans, 284 nucleotides long. The record is from Ensembl. Lineage: Eukaryota; Metazoa; Nematoda; Chromadorea; Rhabditida; Rhabditidae.
UUAUAAAAGUUAUAAAAAAGUUACCAUUGCGUGCUGGAUCUUGGAGUUAAAAUUUUUAGGAAUAAUACUAAAUUUUGAUUUUUUCUUCAAAUGUCCAUUUACCCCAAUUAUAUUUUUAUUCAUUGUUUUCUACGUGAACCGGGGGAAAUGAAAAUUCGAUAAAACUGGAAAAAAGGGAAACAUAAAAGGGGAAAAUAAAAAAUAAACAAAUUCGAUGUGGAUGACUAAACGAUAAGGUAGCUGGAAAAAAGAAAGAAAAACGGUGUGUUGUGAAAGAAUUGAUU